This 229-nucleotide unclassified non-coding RNA is filed under the name Hevea brasiliensis (rubber tree). The record is from RNAcentral. Lineage: Eukaryota; Viridiplantae; Streptophyta; Magnoliopsida; Malpighiales; Euphorbiaceae.
GCUAUCUUGCUGAGCAGUCGGCAGCUUCUCCCGAUCCGACCCGCCAUUGAUUGAUAAGCUGAAGCUUCUGUUUGUAACUGCAAAAAGUGACGACAAAGCUUCCAUUUCGUUUCCGAGGCAGUCUUUCGGUUAUUUUCUCUCUUGAAAACGGCGUUUCCAUUAGCUUUUUAGUUAGAGAUUCUUGAUUGAGUACUGCCAAAUAUGUCUUUGAUUCGUCGGAGAAAGGCGG